AACGCAUAUUGCGCCCGCGGCUUCGGCCAAGGGCAUGUCUGCCUCAGCGUCGGGUUAAUACUCGCCCCACAUUCCCCUGUGAAUGUCUGGGACGGAUCUGGCCGUCCCAGCCCUCUCUCUUUUGAGAGAAGGCUGGGUCGGCUGAAGUGCAGAGGUUUGUUCAAGGACCCGCCAAGGGCCGCAGCUGGUUAGGCAGUGAUGCUAAACGAUUAGCUGUUGGCCUGGGUCCUGGGCGAGCCCUCAACCAGGAAACUCUUACAACUUAUUUCCUCGACCUGAGCUCAGGCAAGAUUACCCGCUGAACUUAAG
RNAcentral lists this unclassified non-coding RNA (309 nucleotides) under uncultured Chlorophyta. RNAcentral's name for it is "sequence contains 5.8S rRNA gene". Lineage: Eukaryota; Viridiplantae; Chlorophyta. The record is from RNAcentral.